UAGGGAAUCUUCGGCAAUGGACGGAAGUCUGACCGAGCAACGCCGCGUGAGUGAAGAAGGUUUUCGGAUCGUAAAGCUCUGUUGUUAGAGAAGAACGUUGGUAGGAGUGGAAAAUCUACCAAGUGACGGUAACUAACCAGAAAGGGACGGCUAACUACGUGCCAGCAGCCGCGGUAAUACGUAGGUCCCGAGCGUUGUCCGGAUUUAUUGGGCGUAAAGCGAGCGCAGGCGGUUCUUUAAGUCUGAAGUUAAAGGCAGUGGCUUAACCAUUGUACGCGAUGGAAACUGGAGGACUUGAGUGCAGAAGGGGAGAGUGGAAUUCCAUGUGUAGCGGUGAAAUGCGGAGAUAUAUGGAGGAACACCGGUGGCGAAAGCGGCUCUCAGGUCUGUAACAGACGCUGAGGCUCGAAAGCGUGGGGAGCAAACAGG
RNAcentral lists this ribosomal RNA (429 nucleotides) under Bacillota bacterium. RNAcentral's name for it is "Firmicutes bacterium partial 16S ribosomal RNA". It matches the Rfam family "Bacterial small subunit ribosomal RNA", at positions 355 to 776 of the family's 1533-position model. Lineage: Bacteria; Bacillati; Bacillota. The record is from RNAcentral.